This 484-nucleotide ribosomal RNA is filed under the name uncultured bacterium. Its description in RNAcentral is "partial 16S ribosomal RNA". It matches the Rfam family "Bacterial small subunit ribosomal RNA", at positions 30 to 507 of the family's 1533-position model. The record is from RNAcentral.
AUUGAACGCUGGCGGCAUGCCUUACACAUGCAAGUCGAACGGCAGCACGGACUUCGGUCUGGUGGCGAGUGGCGAACGGGUGAGUAAUGUAUCGGAACGUACCUUUCAGUGGGGGAUAACGUAGCGAAAGUUACGCUAAUACCGCAUAUUCUGUGAGCAGGAAAGCAGGGGAUCGGAAGACCUUGCGCUGAUUGAGCGGCCGAUAUCAGAUUAGCUAGUUGGUGGGGUAAAGGCCUACCAAGGCGACGAUCUGUAGCGGGUCUGAGAGGAUGAUCCGCCACACUGGAACUGAGACACGGUCCAGACUCCUACGGGAGGCAGCAGUGGGGAAUUUUGGACAAUGGGGGCAACCCUGAUCCAGCCAUGCCGCGUGAGUGAAGAAGGCCUUCGGGUUGUAAAGCUCUUUCGGCCGGGAAGAAAUCGCAUAGGCUAAUACCCUGUGUGGAUGACGGUACCGGAAUAAGAAGCACCGGCUAACUACGUG